CCUUUAGAUGUCCUGGGCCGCACGCGCGUUACACUGAUGCAUUCAACGAGCUUAUAACCUUGGCCGAGAGGCCUGGGCAAUCUUGUUAACGUGCAUCGUGAUAGGGAUAGAUUAUUGAAAUUAUUAAUCUUGAACGAGGAAUUCCUAGUAAACGCAGAUCAUCAAUCUGCAUUGAUUACGUCCCUGCCCUUUGUACACACCGCCCGUCGCACCUACCGAUUGGAUGGUCCGGUGAAGCCUCGGGAUUGUGGUUCUUGCCGCUUUAUUGUAGCGUGACCGCGAGAACUUGUCUAAACCUUAUCAUCUAGAGGAAGGUGAAGUCGUAACA
RNAcentral lists this ribosomal RNA (328 nucleotides) under uncultured eukaryote. RNAcentral describes it as "partial 18S ribosomal RNA". It matches the Rfam family "Eukaryotic small subunit ribosomal RNA", at positions 1470 to 1796 of the family's 1831-position model. The record is from RNAcentral.